Molecule: long non-coding RNA, 1566 nt
Filed under: Solanum tuberosum (potato)
Lineage: Eukaryota; Viridiplantae; Streptophyta; Magnoliopsida; Solanales; Solanaceae
Description: long non-coding RNA (STUB_LNC010829)
Source: RNAcentral
UUGCUUUUCCUUGUAAGGAUUGAUUCGCAGUUGCCUUAGACUAGGUUGGACAUUAGAUGCUUUAAGUUGUGUUUUAUUGCCUCGCGGUUAUAAUUUUCUUCAUUUAGGGCUUAUUUUGGGUCGUUCUCCUUGCGAUGAUGCUUGUGACCUUGGUGGCUCGUCAUAGCCCUAUGUUGGUCCUAACUGUGCUCAGUCUGGGACUUGAGCGACGUGAUUGGGGUAGGGCAUCAUCCUUCGAGUUUUCUCCCUCUUUUAUUGAUUUGAAGUAUCUUCUUGACCCCUUUGCUUGUUGAUUAGUGAUGGGCAUGUUGUAUCCUUAUUGAGCUUAUGAUUAUAUUGUUGGACCUAAGGACAUGUACGAGGACCUGUUGGAUCCCAGGUUAGUACUCUCUGCUUUGGUAGCUUGGUUUCAGUGGUUGUAUAAUUAUUUAAUUUGGAGUGCCUUGUUUAAAUGUUGGUGAUGCAUGUAUUGCAUUGUUUGCUCAUUCUCAUGGAUUUUGUGGUACAAUCCCCGCCCAUGCAUUGGCAUAUUUAUCAUUCAUUAUGAAGUACUAUUUUACUCAAUUUUUAUUCUAAACUGGUUUUGACGGGAGUUGUACCACCUGAAUCACUUGACUUACUGAUUUUUGAGAUUACGAGGCGUCAGAGACGUGCUCUUUUUUCUACUUGAGAUAUUAGAGGCAUCUGGGAUGUGCUCAGUUUUCACUUGAAUAUCCGGCGCAUCGAUGCCCUUUCUUGCAUGCUUUUGGUUUUACUUACACCCCUGGGUCACUCUUGCUAGUUGGGUGGCUUAUGCCCUUGGGAGUGGACUGACUGAUUGGGCAACCUUGAUACUUGGGAUCCUCUUCGGAGUUGACACACCAUUGAGUCACUCUUGCUAGCAGGGAGGCUUAUGCCCCUGGGAGUGGACUGUGUGGCUGGGCGGCCUGGAUUGAUUUGUCACUCUUGCUAGCUGGGCUAGGAAUUGACUGGAGUCAUAUGAUUAUGGUUUUGGAUGGUCCUGUUGCACACCCAACAUCCCUAUGCAUUGCCUAUUACCAAUAUACUUGUUUGUUGUUUGUACCCUCUGGUUUAUGGGGGCCGAUUGGGUUAUGUUUGAUGUUUGUACCUUCCAGGCUUAUGAGGUCCGGUUAGGUUAUUGUUUGACUAUAUUCAGUUCUUUGCUAUUGUUUUAUUGUUACUUGGUAGGUUUUGACUUUAGAAUUGUGGUUGUGUGUCCUCCUAACACUAGCCAGUUGACUUGUUAUCUUAGUUUCUUGCGAUUAGGUUAUUGGCUUACAAUCUAGGUGCGUUCUUGACUCGACUUCUUACCCCUUAUUUUCUAUUUCUAUUCUUUAUUUCCUGAAUACCUUAGCAUAUCUUGUUUAAUUACUUAUGUUAUGCUUUCCUUAUUACUUGUUGUUUAUGCUUGUGUAAUCUUCUGAGCUCAGUUGGCUGUUGCAUGUUGAGUACCGUUUCGGUGCUCAUACUAUACUUCUUCCCCCUGCAAAUUGCUGCAGAUUGCAGUUGAGUUAUUGUCGUUGAUUUGGAGUCAUGCGGAGCAACUUAGGAUUUCAGAGAUUAGGG